Molecule: small nuclear RNA, 22 nt
Filed under: Arabidopsis thaliana (thale cress)
Lineage: Eukaryota; Viridiplantae; Streptophyta; Magnoliopsida; Brassicales; Brassicaceae
Description: snRNA_15496
Source: RNAcentral
GUGGUCUUGUUAGCUUGUGUAG